Molecule: RNA transcript, 2611 nt
Organism: Fundulus heteroclitus (mummichog)
Lineage: Eukaryota; Metazoa; Chordata; Actinopteri; Cyprinodontiformes; Fundulidae
Exons: 13
Source: RefSeq, a predicted model, not a curated record
UGAACCGACAACCUGCCAGCUGCAGGAAACGCCCCCUAAUUCCCUCCUCCCACUCUAACAAACUACCGUCUAAAUGCAGCUGUUGGUUUUACAUGUAAAGUUUGUGGCACUUCAAUGCAAAAUUUGGAGAAACCGUAGGUGGUAUGAAAAUAGUGUCUUCAAUUUUAAAACAAUAUGAUGGAUUUCUCUAAAAACAGAAAGUUAAACUGUGUUUCUACAUGAAAGUAUGACAACAUAGUAAAGCCUGAAAAACAGUGAAUUUAAAUUUCUAUGUCUUUAAUGGGGCAUAGAGUUGUAUUAUAUCUCUAAUUGUUGCUAUGGGAGGCCCCAACAAUUGUGUUUUUAAAAAUGUACACAAAUACACUUAAGAUGUUUAUUUUUGAACAGCUGCUAGGUAAUUAUGCGUCCGCAUGAUGCCAAAAUGAUUUCAUUCAAAUAUCAGCACUUAAGAUAUCCCUUAACAGACAUUUGAAAACCCACUUUCCAUAUAUUACGGCGAUAGAGAAGUACUUGCUUAAAUUUAUUACAGUUUUUGAGAUACUUUGCUCAGUAAGUGUGAAGAUGUUUUCCUGCAUUUGGAAAAAACAAAAGGUAUGAACCUGAUUCUUUGUGUAAUCUGCUGAUUUGACUUAAUGCACUAAGAUGAUUUCCACUCAAUUUGAUCGUAAUUUAGUUUGACUUGUUGCUACUAAUUUGUGAAAAGGUAACAUUAUCAAACUUUAAUAUCUGUUUUUACAACUUUUUAACAGAAAAGCCCUCCAGGGGAUGUACGCUCUGGAGAUGGUGAUAGCGCAAGUCUGCAGAAGAGGCUACAGAGAGAGGCAUGGUCUCCCAUUUCCACCACAACCCCUGAUAACAGCAAGGCUCCCAGGACUAGAAAAACCUCCUUCUGGCAACGCUGGUCUCUUCAUAACAAGAAAAGCCCUCCAGGGGAUGUACGCUCUGGAGAUGGUGAUAACGCAAGUCUGCAGAAGAGGCUACAGAGAGAGGCAUGGUCUCCCAUUUCCACCACAACCCCUGAUAACAGCAAGGCUCCCAGGACUAGAAAAACCUCCUUCUGGCAACGCUGGUCUCUUCAUAACAAGAAAAGCCCUCCAGGGGAUGUACGCUCUGGAGAUGGUGAUAGCGCAAGUCUGCAGAAGAGGCUACAGAGAGAGGCAUGGUCUCCCAUUUCCACCACAACCCCUGAUAACAGCAAGGCUCCCAGGACUAGAAAAACCUCCUUCUGGCAACGCUGGUCUCUUCAUAACAAGAAAAGCCCUCCAGGGGAUGUACGCUCUGGAGAUGGUGAUAGCGCAAGUCUGCAGAAGAGGCUACAGAGAGAGGCAUGGUCUCCCAUUUCCACCACAACCCCUGAUAACAGCAAGGCUCCCAGGACUAGAAAAACCUCCUUCUGGCAACGCUGGUCUCUUCAUAACAAGAUAAGCCCUCAAAGUGAUGUACGCUCUGGGAAUGGCGAAAGCUUAAGUCUUCAGAAGAGGUAAAGUUUUAUAACAAUCCUAAUUUGUUUCCACGUGGUUUUAAUUACUUUUUUUCCCCCUGCCACAAAUGACUUGGACAUCCAAAACCUGACAUUUUCUGCUUAUCUUACUGAUAUCAGCCAGCAGACAGAAGCACCAUCUCCUUCUACCAUCACAACCAGCGAGGCUCCUAGAACUAGAAAAACCUCCUUCUGGCAUUGUUGGCGUCUUCUUAACAAGAAAAAGCAGAGCCAUCUCCAACAAGAUGUGGACGCGGUCACAAUCCAUUCACCUUCAGUGACAGAAAUUAGGUAAAUUAAAACUUCAUCAACUGCAGUUUAAUAUUCUAUCAUCUAUUUUUAAGUUGUCGUUAUAGAGGUUUAUGCCACCACAGAAUUAAUUUUAUUUUUUUCUUUAUUUUACAGUUGUUGCACAAGUGAGAAGUCUCAGGGAGGAGAGACUGGUGUCGAGUUCAGGGCCUCACCUGUUCUUGACAGUCCUGUCUCUGCUCACCAUGAGCCGCAUCUCCAAGUAGUCCCACAAUGCUCCACCACUAUACAAUGCACUGGUGAUUUUGGGGAUGUCGAAGAUGGAGGACUGGAUGGUUUUCCUGCAUCUUCCAGAGAAGGAGACUCCCAAACUGGCCAGAACAGCAGAGUGGAAGAGACUGUCUUGUCCUCUACUGCCACAGCACAGAUCAUAAACAACCAAGAGGACUGCAAAGAAAGCGAGGCUGAUGUCCAAGACAACAUCCAACCUGCGUCUGAAAGUCAAGACAAGACUCCCGAGAAAGAUUGCCCUUGAAGAGCUAACGCACCUGCCAUCAGGGCUUGCAAAAUGAGUCACAUUUCUUUAACUUUUCCACAUAUAGUCACAUUACAAACAAAAAAUACAAAUACAUUUUAUUGGAGUGUUAUGUGAAAGACAAAGUGGUAUACAACUGUGAUGUAGCAAGAAACUAAUACAUGGUCUCUUUUUUUAACAAAUAAAAAACUGAAAAGAGCAACGUGCAAAAGUAUUCAGCAUCCCCCAGUAAAUAUUUCUUGGAACCGCGUUGUGCGGUAAUUACAGCUGCAAGUCUCUGCCAGUUUUCCACGUCUUGUGACUGAAAUUUUUGGCCAUUCUUCUUUGCAAAUCAGUUCAAGCACAGU